This 106-nucleotide ribosomal RNA is filed under the name Muribaculaceae bacterium. Lineage: Bacteria; Pseudomonadati; Bacteroidota; Bacteroidia; Bacteroidales; Muribaculaceae. The record is from RNAcentral.
AAAGGCGGCCACAGCGCGAGGGCCCCACCUCUUCCCAUCCCGAACAGAGAAGUUAAGCCUCGCCGCGCCGAUGGUACUGCGAAAGCGGGAGAGUAGGUCGCCGCCC